This is a long non-coding RNA of Dama dama (fallow deer), 1443 nucleotides long. RefSeq lists it as uncharacterized. The transcript is spliced from 3 exons. NCBI's taxonomy places the organism in Eukaryota, Metazoa, Chordata, Mammalia, Artiodactyla, Cervidae. The record is from RefSeq and is a predicted model, not a curated record.
GGGAGUCAGGAACAAGAGCGGGUGGCACUGAGCUCCGCUGCAGCGGCGACCGCCUCCUCCUCUAAGAGCGAGUGUUGAAUUUUAUCAGAUGAUUUUCCUGCAGCUUUUGAUAUGGUCAUCUGGUUUUUCUUUUUUAGCCUGUUAAAUGGGAUGGGUUACAGUAACUGAUUUUUGAAUGUUGAACCAGGCUUGUAUACCUGGAUUAAGUCUCACUUGGUUGUAUGUAAUUAUUUUUAUAUAUUGUUGGAGUCAGUUUGCUAAUAUUUUGUUGACAAUUUUUACAUCCUUGUUCAUGAGAGAUGCUGGUCUGUAGUUUUCCUUUUGUCUGUGUUUGUCUCCUUUUAGUAUUAGGGUAAUGCUGGCCUCACAGAAUGAAUUCGGAAUGGUCCUUUUACCACUAUUCUGUGAAAGAGAUUGUAGAGAAUCUCUUCCUUAAAUGUUUGGUAGAAUUCAUCAUUGACACACCUGGGCCUGGCGUUGUUUGUUUUGAAAAAUUACUAUUAAUUCAGCCUUCUUAAUUGAUACAGUCCUAUUCAGAGUGUCUACUUGUCUUUCCAAGUUUUAACAGAUUGUCUUUUAGGGAAUCAAUUCACUACAUCUAGGUUAUCAAAUUUGUGAGCGUAGUCAUUUGUAAUACUCUUUUAUUCCUUUGAUGUCCAUGGGAUUAGCAGAGGCGGCUUCUUUCAUUUCUGAUAUUUAAUAAUUUGUGUCUUGCCUUUUGCUAUUUUUUAACCUGUGUAGAGACCUAUCUCCAGUACUCUUACCUGGAAAAUCCCAUGGACGGAGGAGCCUGGUAGGCUGCAGUCCAUGGGGUCGCUAAGAGUUGGACAUGACUGAGUGAAUUUACUUUUACUUUUCACUUUCAUGCAUUGGAGAAGGAAAUGGCAACCCACUCCAGUUUUUGUUCUUGCCUGGAGAAUCCCAGGGACAGGCUUGCCUGGUGGGCUGCCGUCUAUGGGGUCUCACAGUCGGACACGACUGAAGCGACUUAGCAGCAGCAGCAUCAGAGACCUAUCAAUUUACUUGAUUUUUCAAAGGACCUGCUUUUGCUUUGUAAGCAAGAUUAAGAGCCCAGGGUAUCAAAUGGCAGUAUUCAUCUAUAGAUGAGUAGAAUUAUCACUUUGGAUCUAAUACACGUGAAUUUGGCAGGUAUAAAAUAAGUGUUAGCUAGUUUUCUCUAAGCAUUCCUAUAAUAAAGUCAACAGGACAUUGUACUAUUAUUCAAAGUGUUGUAAUGUCGUUAAAAACAUUGCAGUUAAAUUUUGUUAGUGUUUUUAAGUAUUCUUCAAAUUGGCUCAUUACGUUCUUGAAGAUGACAAUAUUAUUUUUACUAGAGUAGAUAAAGCUUAUGAAAGAACGGGUUUCAAAAAAUUUUUAUAGGUAAUACUUUAAUAAAAAUAGGUUUUUUCCUUGGUGAUAUAACUAACAUUUAUUUUCUGUUUA